Molecule: ribosomal RNA, 252 nt
Filed under: uncultured bacterium
Lineage: Bacteria
Description: partial 16S ribosomal RNA
Rfam family: Bacterial small subunit ribosomal RNA
Source: RNAcentral
UACAGAGGGUGCGAGCGUUGUCCGGAAUCACUGGGCGUAAAGGGCGCGUAGGUGGCGACCCAAGUCGAUGGUGAAAGCUCGCCGCUCAACGGCGAGUCGGCCACCGAUACUGGGUUGCUGGAGCACUGUAGAGGCUCUGGAAUUCCGGGUGUAGCGGUGGAAUGCGGUAGAGAGUCCGGAAGAACACCGGUGGCGAAGGCGGUGAGCUGGGCAGUUGCUGACACUGAGGCGCGGACAGCGUGGGGAGCAAAC